CAUAGAUAAUCCGCCUCCGACCCGGGAAUAACGGCUGGAAACGGCCGCUAAUACCGAAUGAGGUGGCGUAGGGCAUCCUACGCUGAUCAAUGCGGGGGAUCUGUAAAAGGACCUUGUGGUUAGAGAAGAGUCUAUGGGAUAUCAGCUAGUUGGAGAGGUAAAGGCUCACCAAGGCUAAGACGUCUAGGCGGAUCGAGAGAUUGACCGCCAACACUGGGACUGAGACACUGCCCAGACUCCUACGGGAGGCUGCAGUCGAGAAUCUUUCGCAAUGGGCGCAAGCCUGACGAAGCGACGCCGUGUGAGCGAAGAAGGCCUUCGGGUUGUAAAGCUCUUUCGCUAGGGAACAAGAGAGAUGGGACAAUACCCCAUUGAUUUGAUGGUACUUGGUAAAGAAGCACCGGCUAACUCCGUGCCAGCAGCUGCGGUAAUACGGAGGGUGCAAGCAUUGAUCGGAAUUACUGGGCGUAAAGGGCGCGUAGGCGGCUAAGAAAGUCAGAUGUGAAAUUCCGGGGCUCAACCCCGGAGCUGCAUUUGAAACUUCUGAGCUAGAGUUCAGUUAGGGUAAACGGAAUUCCACGUGUAGCGGUGAAAUGCGUAGAUAUGUGGAAGAACACCGGUGGUGAAGACGGUUUACUGGGCUGAGACUGACGCUGAGGCGCGAAAGCAUGGGGAGCAAACAGGAUUAGAUACCCUGGUAGUCCAUGCCUUAAACGAUGCAUACUAGGUGUAGGAGGGCUCAACCCCCUCUGUACCGGAGCUAACGCAUUAAGUAUGCCGCCUGGGGAGUACGCUCGCAAGGGUGAAACUCAAAAGAAUUGACGGGGGCCCGCACAAGCAGUGGAGCAUGUGGUUUAAUUCGAUGCAACGCGAAGAACCUUACCUGGGCUCGAAAUGUAGAGGACGACAUCAGAGAUGAUGUCUCUCGAAAGGGCUUUUACAUAGGUGCUGCAUGGCUGUCGUCGGCUCGUGCCGUGAGGUGUUUGGUUAAGUCCAGCAACGAGCGCAACCCUUAUCGUUAGUUGCCAACAUGUAAAGGUGGGAACUCUAACGAGACUGCCUGGGUUAACCAGGAGGAAGGUGAGGAUGACGUCAAGUCCGCAUGGCCUUUAUGUCCAGGGCUACACACGUGCUACAAUGGUCGGUACAGAAGGCAGCAAAACCGCAAGGCGAAGCAAAUCC
RNAcentral lists this ribosomal RNA (1182 nucleotides) under uncultured bacterium. RNAcentral's name for it is "bacterial SSU rRNA". It matches the Rfam family "Bacterial small subunit ribosomal RNA", at positions 116 to 1274 of the family's 1533-position model. The record is from RNAcentral.